This 451-nucleotide ribosomal RNA is filed under the name uncultured Planctomycetota bacterium. RNAcentral describes it as "bacterial SSU rRNA". It matches the Rfam family "Bacterial small subunit ribosomal RNA", at positions 386 to 827 of the family's 1533-position model. The record is from RNAcentral. Lineage: Bacteria; Pseudomonadati; Planctomycetota.
ACGAUGCGACGCCGCGUGAGCGAAGAAGGCCCUAGGGUUGUAAAGCUCUGUCAGGGGUUAAGAAAUGUAGAUAGGUUAAUACCCUGUUUAUUUGACAAAAGCCCCAAAGGAAGCCACGGCUAACUCUGUGCCAGCAGCCGCGGUAAUACAGAGGUGGCAAGCGUUGUUCGGUAUUAUUGGGCGUAAAGAGCAUGUAGGUGGUUUUGUAAGUCAGAUGUGAAAGCCUUCUGUUCAAAGGAAGAACGGCAUCUGAAACUGCAGAUCUUGAGUGUAGGAGGGGAGAGUGGAACUUCUGGUGGAGCGGUGAAAUGCGUACAUAUCAGAAGGAACGUCGGCGGCCAAAGCGACUCUCUGGCCUAUUACUGACACUGAGUGUGCUAAAGUUAGGGGAGCAAACGGGAUUAGAUACCCCGGUAGUCCUAACCGUAAACGAUGGGCACUAAGUAGAGGG